GCUAGAUCUCGCCUUUCACCUAGGCCGAGGUCGGUGAUCUUGGGCUUAAAAAGCAAUGGAAGCGCACGUCAUUGAGAGUGGAGUCAUCCAGGCCAUACUGGUACUUCUCCAUCUUGGUCUCGAUGCCACAGAUUCCUCCGUCACCACACUCCUCGCUCCAGGAGCCGUACACUCCCCAGUCCAGGCCCAUGCCCUCCAGCAGAGGGUUGCUGCUGCAGCGGAACUUGAUGUUGUUGAUAGCCGUGUCGUCACCAAACAGACCCUGAUGGGGCUGCACGCGGAUCUGGAAAGAUGUGAGCAUGCCCUUGGGGCAGUACUGGGGAGGUGACCAGUCACCAAAGCUGGGCAGGAGAGGAGAAAUACAAGAGAAGGAUCAGGGGAACAAAUCAGGAAGAGAUCCAAUUUGAAGACUGGAAACUCUGGAAGAGAUUGGAUACAUUUACAAACGUGGUUUUGGAAUCCUGGAAAAAAAAAAACGCUUUUUAUUUCCACUGUGAACAUGAUGGGUAACUGCCAGCUGCAGAUGACUGUAUUUAUUACAUUUCUAUUUCUAUUUAAACUUUGUAAUCCUACUUUACCCCAGUCAUUGAUCCUUAUAUUGGUUUUUUCUUUUUUCUUGGUAUGUUAGAAGAAUAUAACAGUUUGCUGGAUUAUGUAUAAUUAAGGUGGUGAUUUAUUUUUCCUUUGUAAAUAUCUUUGUAAUGUGUUUUAAUGUGAGACAUCUAGACCAAAAUCUAUAAACUAACAAUGUAUUAACACAA
Molecule: long non-coding RNA, 761 nt
Organism: Gymnodraco acuticeps
Lineage: Eukaryota; Metazoa; Chordata; Actinopteri; Perciformes; Bathydraconidae
Exons: 2
Source: RefSeq, a predicted model, not a curated record